Molecule: transfer RNA, 67 nt
Filed under: Emarginoptyx trilucida
Lineage: Eukaryota; Metazoa; Arthropoda; Insecta; Coleoptera; Lampyridae
Description: tRNA-Ser
Source: RNAcentral
AGUCAAUGAACUUGUUUAAGUAUAUAUUUUGAAAAUAUAAAAAAAGAUUAAUUUAUCUUAUUGACUU